RNAcentral lists this unclassified non-coding RNA (200 nucleotides) under soil metagenome. RNAcentral describes it as "partial contains internal transcribed spacer 2 and large subunit ribosomal RNA". The record is from RNAcentral.
CGUGUAACAAACGGCUCGUCUGAAAUGCCUGAGUGUACCCUGCUUUGCGGCGUAUUCGGUGUGAUACAUCUUCACCGGAGUUUUGACUCUCGGGUCGGCGCUUUGCAUUGCAUUUGGCUCUAUGCUUCCAACCGUCUCUAACAAAGACAAUACUCUGACAAUUUGACCUCAAAUCGGGUGGGACUACCCGCUGAACUUAA